AUUGAACGCUGGCGGCAUGCUUUACACAUGCAAGUCGAACGGCAGCGCGGGCUUCGGCCUGGCGGCGAGUGGCGAACGGGUGAGUAAUACAUCGGAACGUGCCCAGUAGUGGGGGAUAGCUCGGCGAAAGCCGGAUUAAUACCGCAUACGACCUGAGGGUGAAAGCGGGGGAUCUUCGGACCUCGCGCUAUUGGAGCGGCCGAUGGCAGAUUAGCUAGUUGGUGGGGUAAAGGCCUACCAAGGCGACGAUCUGUAGCUGGUCUGAGAGGACGACCAGCCACACUGGGACUGAGACACGGCCCAGACUCCUACGGGAGGCAGCAGUGGGGAAUUUUGGACAAUGGGCGAAAGCCUGAUCCAGCAAUGCCGCGUGUGUGAUGAAGGCCUUCGGGUUGUAAAGCACUUUUGGCGGGAACGAAAGGGACUGCGCCAAUA
RNAcentral lists this ribosomal RNA (435 nucleotides) under Lautropia mirabilis. RNAcentral's name for it is "bacterial SSU rRNA". It matches the Rfam family "Bacterial small subunit ribosomal RNA", at positions 29 to 465 of the family's 1533-position model. Lineage: Bacteria; Pseudomonadati; Pseudomonadota; Betaproteobacteria; Burkholderiales; Burkholderiaceae. The record is from RNAcentral.